RNAcentral lists this ribosomal RNA (373 nucleotides) under uncultured bacterium. Its description in RNAcentral is "bacterial SSU rRNA". It matches the Rfam family "Bacterial small subunit ribosomal RNA", at positions 521 to 896 of the family's 1533-position model. The record is from RNAcentral.
UAAUACGUAGGUGGCAAGCGUUGUCCGGAUUUAUUGGGUUUAAAGGGUGCGUAGGUGGUCUAUUAAGUCAGUGCUGAAAUAUCCCGGCUUAACCGGGAGGGUGGCAUUGAUACUGAUGGACUUGAGUAAAGUUGAGGUGGGCGGAAUUGACGGUGUAGCGGUGAAAUGCUUAGAUAUCGUCAAGAACACCUAUUGCGAAGGCAGCUCACUAAGCUUUAACUGACACUGAGGCACGAAAGUGUGGGGAUCAAACAGGAUUAGAUACCCUGGUAGUCCACACUGUAAACGUUGAUUACUCGAUGUUGGCGAUACACAGUCAGCGUCUUAGCGAAAGCGAUAAGUAAUCCACCUGGGGAGUACGCCGGCAACGGUG